AUAUACUACGCAUUAUCAAACCAAUACCUACCAAACCCACUCUCUCACCCGAUGCCCCCGUCCACUCCCCACCCUCAACACCCCCUCACCCCGUGGCUAACAGCUCCGACUGCCGUAGCAAUGGCUUUUGUUAAAGCCCAGAAAACAAAAGCUUACUUCAAGCACUACCAAGUCUCGUUUAAGAGAAGGAGAGAGGGAAAGACGGACUACCGAGCUAGGGUGCGUCUUAUCAAUCAAGACAAGAACAAGUACAAUACUCCGAAAUAUCGCUUUGUUGUGAGCAAUACACUGAAGACCCAUCACAGCUGAUUGCUGCUCAGAAGGUUCCUGCGGCCGCAGCUAAGAAAACCCCAGCUCCUGCAGCUGCUCAGCAGCAGCAAUCCAAGCUGACGGCUAAGCUUCCUUCGAAGCCGCUCCCCCCAGCUCAAGCUGGUUUUUGUCUUGUUUAACAUAAGCACUAUUUAAGAUUGUGAAAACUUCAAUUAUGCUGGAAGAUUGCUGUGCGCUCCAGUGGUGACUUUUUUUUGAGAGUCUUUGAGCAAGAAAAUGUAUAGCAACGGAGACUCUUCUUCUCCGGAGGACUCCAAUGGCGAAUCAAAUGAAAAGGCUCAGAGAUCGAUCAGAGUUUGUUGCAGGUUUAGAUGGUCCACAUUGGUACAUGAAUGUUCAUAGCUGUUUUCUUUGAAUUCUUGAUGCAAAUGCCCACAUGCGGGUUUGAUGAACUAAAAGUGUAUACAGAACAGACAAACAUUUGCCUCAUCUGGAGAAUACAGGGCAAUGACUGACAUGUGAGCAACAAACCCACCAUAUGAUGCAUAAUAAACAGAUCUUUGCCAAACGGGCUGAAGAGCACGAAAGAUUCAUCAACAAGGUUGCACUGAUUGGGAGCUUUUUGGGUUGAUAGGUAACUUAUUUGUUGAGUGUUCUUGGGUUUGGAACAUUCUGCUUUCUGUUGGGUGCCAGGCCUCAAGAUGUCCCUUAUGCAUAUUGUUUGCUCUCUAUCAUAUUUGUUCCUCUACGGUGGAUUUAUUAUCGAUACAAGAAAUGGCAUUAUUAUCUCUUGGACUUCUGCUACUACGCCAACACACUAUUCUUGGUCAUGCUUCUUUGUUUUCCUAGAAAUGAGAAGUUUUUCAUGAUUUGCUUCUCUUUUGCAGAGGGUCCACUGGCUUGGGCACUGAUUGUGUGGAGAUGCAGCUUAGCCUUUAAUUCUUUCGACAAAAUUGUAAGCGUCUUCAUACAUCUUUUGUCUGGUAAGUUGGACAUCCUUCUCUACAAAAUAAGACAAAGGAACUUAAGAACCUUUUGAUCCAACUUCGGCCCUUCUUUUCCUUGAUCCCCAAAGCAAAAGCUGCAAAAAUUAUCUGUGGAAUUCUUGAUACGGUGGCCAAAAUAGCUGCCGCAUCUGAUGUUCAGAUUGCCCUAUGCAAGGAAAUUGUGCAAUAGACACGUGAUGAGAAGUGAACUUUCCUUCGUUAGCGCACUGAGGCAAAGCUUGCAGCUCUAUUGAUGGAGACCAAGGAAGAUUCCGAAACUUUAGCUCUCCUUUCUGGACCAAUGAAGGAGCUAAAGCUAUAGACGAAUGUCCUGACCUCAAGACCAAGGCUGCUGAGUCAAAUAAAGCAGCAAAGAUAGAUUCAAGAUCAAAAUCCAUUGUUGAAAGGAUGCUUGAUAAAACUGGCUCACCCGGGCUACAAAUUAGGUUAAGUUUAGCGCAACAGCACUACGAGAAACACAAGCAGUGUCUACUAUAGGGAAGGCAUAAAUCAGUUCCUGUGUGAUAGUCUAACAAGCGCUAAUGCUGAGCUCUUGACAGUUUAUGGAACAGAAGAAGCAACUGAUACACUGAUUGAGCAGAUAACUUGGGAUCAAGACCCCAUACUACGUUAUGGAUAAAUGUAUGCAUUUGCAUUGGCUUACAGUAGAACUGCAAACAACAAGGCCAUUCGACAGCUGCUGCAUUUUGCUGCAUCAGAAUUGAGUGACAAUGUUAGGCACACUGCAGUUUUGGCAAUGGCUUAGUUUCUCUUACGUUCAGACUCCUCAAAUCGUCUCCCUGCUCUCUGAAUCAUAUAAUCCACAUGUUCAUCAUAGUCCAGUUCUUAUGUUUGGCAUAUCAUGUGCUGGUACUGGUCUGAGCGAGGCCAUAUCAUUGCUG
Coffea arabica (coffee) is the source of this 2158-nucleotide non-coding RNA. NCBI's taxonomy places the organism in Eukaryota, Viridiplantae, Streptophyta, Magnoliopsida, Gentianales, Rubiaceae. The record is from RefSeq and is a predicted model, not a curated record.